GUGUUACAUCAGCGAUCGAUAGAUGAAGCAUUCAUGAUCACAAGGGGACUGAUCAUGACUGUGUGUACAACGCGAUAAGAAAACGUUGCCCAGGGGUUUAUCUCCAAUGGCGAGUAGAUUAACGCUAACCCCCUUGUUUAUCAGAAAACGAAAGUAGACAAGUGUCAAAUCGUUGCUGACCUCAAACCCGAAGCUGUCGAUGUUGCCAUCGUUAUCUAGUAGUAGACAGGUUGGUGUUUUCAUAGAAGAAACCCUCCCCUUGCCGUCGCUCCAUGACUGAGGGGCGCAAAUAGUCGUAGGGUCCUCGUCUUUGUAUUCAUGCCGGAACUGAAACGCGUACCCACUGUACGUCGUACCAAAGUCGAUCGCAACCACAAUAAGAUGUUCA
Dreissena polymorpha is the source of this 388-nucleotide long non-coding RNA. RefSeq lists it as uncharacterized. NCBI's taxonomy places the organism in Eukaryota, Metazoa, Mollusca, Bivalvia, Myida, Dreissenidae. The transcript has 2 exons. The record is from RefSeq and is a predicted model, not a curated record.